AUUUAUAUAGUAUAAAAAUUACAUUUAACUUCCAAUUAAAAAAUCUAGCUUUAGUAUAAAUA
This 62-nucleotide transfer RNA is filed under the name Cucujoidea sp. 40 KM-2017. RNAcentral describes it as "tRNA-Gly". Lineage: Eukaryota; Metazoa; Arthropoda; Insecta; Coleoptera. The record is from RNAcentral.